Molecule: small RNA, 84 nt
Filed under: Novosphingobium sp. SG720
Lineage: Bacteria; Pseudomonadati; Pseudomonadota; Alphaproteobacteria; Sphingomonadales; Sphingomonadaceae
Description: microRNA MIR1846
Source: RNAcentral
CUACCCCAGCCCCCUCCUCUGAAGAGGAGGGGGCUUUUCUGCCUUUACUCCCCCUCCUCUUCAGAGGAGGGGGUCGGGGGGUGG